GAUGAACGCUGACGGCGUGCCUAAUACAUGCAAGUCGAGCGAACGGACGAGAAGCUUGCUUCUCUGAUGUUAGCGGCGGACGGGUGAGUAACACGUGGAUAACCUACCUAUAAGACUGGGAUAACUUCGGGAAACCGGAGCUAAUACCGGAUAAUAUUUUGAACCGCAUGGUUCAAAAGUGAAAGACGGUCUUGCUGUCACUUAUAGAUGGAUCCGCGCUGCAUUAGCUAGUUGGUAAGGUAACGGCUUACCAAGGCAACGAUGCAUAGCCGACCUGAGAGGGUGAUCGGCCACACUGGACCUGAGACACGGUCCAGACUCCUACGGGAGGCAGCAGUAGGGAAUCUUCCGCAAUGGGCGAAAGCCUGACGGAGCAACGCCGCGUGAGUGAUGAAGGUCUUCGGAUCGUAAAACUCUGUUAUUAGGGAAGAACAUAUGUGUAAGUAACUGUGCACAUCUUGACGGUACCUAAUCAGAAAGCCACGGCUAACUACGU
RNAcentral lists this ribosomal RNA (496 nucleotides) under uncultured bacterium. Its description in RNAcentral is "partial 16S ribosomal RNA". It matches the Rfam family "Bacterial small subunit ribosomal RNA", at positions 28 to 506 of the family's 1533-position model. The record is from RNAcentral.